Molecule: ribosomal RNA, 95 nt
Filed under: Acinetobacter pittii
Lineage: Bacteria; Pseudomonadati; Pseudomonadota; Gammaproteobacteria; Moraxellales; Moraxellaceae
Description: partial 16S ribosomal RNA
Rfam family: Bacterial small subunit ribosomal RNA
Source: RNAcentral
UUUAACUGAAGAGUUUGAUCAUGGCUCAGAUUGAACGCUGGCGGCAGGCUUAACACAUGCAAGUCGAGCGGAGAGAGGUAGCUUGCUACUGAUCU